This 259-nucleotide long non-coding RNA is filed under the name Physcomitrium patens. Its description in RNAcentral is "long non-coding RNA (PPAT_LNC002727)". The record is from RNAcentral. Lineage: Eukaryota; Viridiplantae; Streptophyta; Bryopsida; Funariales; Funariaceae.
AUACCAAUAACUGCUAUUUCCACCAAUAUAUUCACCCUUAUAAUCUCCAACUGUAAUACUACACCCUCACAGCUUUCAGCACACAAUUACCCUCGUUCCAAUCACUGGAAUUCUUCACACAGAACUGCCAUUUACAUAACAGUGUUUCACACAAACAUAGACUCAUUCUCUCUGCUGAACUACAAUCAGAUUUCAAAAUUCAAUCUUUCUUCUUCUCAAAUAAUACCAAUCACAUUUCCAUUCCAUGAUUUACUUCACA